UGUUAUGGCGGCUGUGCGUGGGAGGCUUUCGAGUCUGCCGGGUUUGCCUAUUCCCCGGUUUCCAGCCUGCGCACAGCUGCCACCCAU
This 87-nucleotide non-coding RNA is filed under the name Pseudomonas fluorescens. The record is from RNAcentral. Lineage: Bacteria; Pseudomonadati; Pseudomonadota; Gammaproteobacteria; Pseudomonadales; Pseudomonadaceae.